CCCCCAGUAACUGCGAGUGAAAAGGGAAGAGCCCAGCGCCGAAGCCGCCGUCCAUCACAGUGGGCGGAGGGCAAUGUGGCGUUAAGGAAGAGCCUCCUUGACCAGACGUUUCGUUGUUCGGACCGCGGGAGCCCGAGUCCCCCUGACCGGGGCCAUCGCCCAUGGCGGGUGCAAGGCCUCUUCGGCUCCGUUCGACGGUUCGAAGGUUGCUGGCUUCUUUCCUCAGAGUCGGGUUGCUUGAGAGUGCAGCCCUAAGCGGGUGGUAAACUCCACCUAAGGCUAAAUAUCACCACGAGACCGAUAGCGAACAAGUACCGUGAGGGAAAGUUGCAAAGAACUUUGAAGAGAGAGUUCAAGAGUACGUGAAACCGCUCGGAGGCAAACGGGUGGGCCCUCGAAGGUCGAACGGGGGAAUUCAGCCUGUCGGCGAGCGCUUCCCGCUGUUGAAAAGCAUUCGUGCGAAACGGAUCCGAAAACAAAGCGGACCGGGCGGCGGGUUUCAAAACAUAAAAAGCGUUUGUCGGCUCGUGCACUUUCCCCUUAGUAGGACGCCGCGACCGGUCGGGUCGAAUAUCGAAAAGUUUUGCGGCCAUGAGGCGAGAACGAUCACGGGGGCAGGUGUCCGUUUCCGCGGGUCUCGUUCAGCGUGCGCGGCGAUCUCGGUCGUCGCGUGUUCGUCUGGCGUUUCCUAGGUUCGGAGUUACAGCCCCUUCUCGACCCGUGCACCGCCACCCGACCGACAAAUGGUCACGUAUCCGUUGACGCGUGCCCGCGUGAAACCUAAAGGUUGAACGCUCGCUCUAGUCCAGGGCAGGCCGGAUGCACGAGUAAAAUUCCCGCAUUGACUCGCUUUAAAAAGCGGGUAGGGGAUCCGACGGACGCCGAAAGCAAAAAACCGAAAAGGCGGCCGUCGGCUCUGCGUCUGCCGUUUCGCCCACGUGGAAUUGGACUCUGGCGUAGAGGCAAAGAAACGCUCGCGNNNNNNNNNNNNNNNNNNNNNNNNNNNNNNNNNNNNNNNNNNNNNNNNNNNNNNNNNNNNNAACGAGCUAAACCCGAUGGCGAAAUGAAAGUAAAGGCCGCCCCCUUCAACGGGGGACACAGAACGGCCGAGGCGAGAUCCUAAAAAAGCCGCGCCGUUCGUCUUCGGGCGUUCGGCCGGCGAAAUUUUUAAAAGAAACCGGACAUGGCAGGCACGCCGGCCCUUCGGCGGCGUCAAAACCGUCGUUGCAGGUCGGCGGUCCGGAGGCGCAUCGCCGGCCCGUCUCGAUUGCUCCGAUCGUCCGCGCCCUUCUCUCUAUUUCCGUCGCUCUCUUGGGCCUCGGAUCGGAGUCGGGCAAGGUCGUGAGGAACUGUAGUCAAUGAGGCGGAGCAAGAGCACACACGUUGGGACCCGAAAGAUGGUGAACUAUGCCCGGGCAGGACGAAGCCAGAGGAAACUCUGGUGGAGGUCCGCAGCGAUUCUGACGUGCAAAUCGAUCGUCGGACCUGGGUAUAGGGGCGAAAGACUAAUCGAACCGUCUAGUAGCUGGUUCCCUCCGAAGUUUCCCUCAGGAUAGCUGGCGCUCGGAAUACGAAAAAUAACAAAAAUGAUGAAACAGUCUCAUCCGGUAAAGCGAAUGAUUAGAGGCAUUGGGGCCGAAACGGCCUCAACCUAUUCUCAAACUUUCAAUGGGUGAGAUGUCCGGCUUUCUUAACGCUAAAAACGGGGGGCGGAUUUCGUCCGGAGCCCGCGGGCGUGUCGCUUCUUUUUCUUUCUCGUCGGUCUUUUCGGAGGUCGUCGGGGGGUUGGAGAUGGCUUCGCGCUUUAGCGGAUACUUCGGCGGCCGCGCAACCCUUUGAAGCACGGACGUAGGAUGCGAGUGCCCAGUGGGCCACUUUUGGUAAGCAGAACUGGCGCUGUGGGAUGAACCAAAAGCCGGGUUACGGCGCCCGAUGCGGACGCUUAUCAGACCCCAUGAAAGGUGUUGGUUGCUAUUGACAGCAGGACGGUGGCCAUGGAAGUCGGAAUCCGCUAAGGAGUGUGUAACAACUCACCUGCCGAAGCAACUAGCCCUGAAAAUGGAUGGCGCUCCAGCGUCGAGCCUAACCCCGGCCGCCGGACGGCAUUGAAAAUUGAACUGAUUAUAAAAAAUCGAUGCCCCGGCGAGUAGGAGGGUCGCGGUGGUGAGCGUUGAAGGGAUCGGGCGCGAGCCUGCCUGGAGCCGCCACCGGUGCAGAUCUUGGUGGUAGUAGCAAAUACUCGAGUGAGAACCUUGAGGACUGAAGUGGAGAAGGGUUCCAUGUGAACAGCAGUUGAACAUGGGUCAGUCGGCCCUAAGGAAUAGGGGAAACCCGUUCUGAAAAGAAACCGGAAUGCAAACAAAUGAAAUAAAGAAAGAGAAGUGAAAAAUGACCGGUGAUGACCGAAAGGGAAUCGGGUUAAUAUUCCCGAACCCGGAUGCGGAGAUCGACCCUCGCGGGUCUGAAGCGGUAACGCGUAACGAACUCGGAGAUUGCCGGCGGGGGCCCCGGGAAGAGUUUUCUUUUCUUUGUAAAGGACGGACUCCCUGGAAUCGGCUCGCCCGGAGAGAGGGAUGUUGUUCCUGUAAAGCACCGCGGCUCUUGCGGUGUCCGGAGCGCUCUCGUCGGCCCUUGAAAAUCCGAGGGAGUGAAUGAAUGAUUUCCGCACCGGACCGUACCCAUAUCCGCAGCA
RNAcentral lists this ribosomal RNA (2692 nucleotides) under Strigamia bicolor. Its description in RNAcentral is "partial 28S ribosomal RNA". It matches the Rfam family "Eukaryotic large subunit ribosomal RNA", at positions 77 to 1861 of the family's 3401-position model. The record is from RNAcentral. Lineage: Eukaryota; Metazoa; Arthropoda; Chilopoda; Geophilomorpha; Linotaeniidae.